GGCGCCGGCGCGCGCAGGCCGCGGGGUUGAAGGGUUCCGAGUCGCCGCUGCUGUGCUGCUUGCUCAGCCUCGGCCUGGACCUGGGCCUGGGCCCUUGCGCGCCCGGCUGCGGGCGGGCUGGGGUGACAUCGGCUCAGGCGCCUAGCUCGCCACGGCGUGCGUGAACACCCCUUCCCUCUAACCUCGGGCUCCGCAAGCUUCUUUAUGGACGAUGAUUAUUAAACUUGGACAGGGUCGGUUGGGUGUUUAAACAUCACCGUGUACUGUUUAUAGACUUCUAUGCAAUCAAGAGAUCUGGGCUAAGUUGACAUUCUUGUUCAUCUGCCUACGUAUUGUUUUUCUCAGCCUCAAUCAUAAAUGUGUCCGGAAGUUCCUCAGCACUCCAAUCACUUGAUCUCAUAUUCUGUAUCUGAGCCGGUAGUAAUAAGGAGCUAAGUUUGGUAUCUUACUCUUGUAAGCCCCAGCAUUCGGGAAGCUGGACUGAUUGUUGUUUAUUGCAUACUUGCUUGGGUUACAGCGUGAGACAAAAGAAGAAAAGAAAACAAAACGAAAUAAUCGGGUCAUAGCGGUGCAGGCAUGUAAUCCCGGCACCAGGACCGCAGAGGCAGAAUUGCAGAAAGAUUGGAGCCAACCUUAUCUACAGGCUCAGUACCAAGCCUGCCAGGCUACGUAGCAAGGCCCCAUCUCAAACCAAAACGUACUACGGACUCAGAAAUGAUCAGAAGGACACUUCUCUAAAUGUGGGACUUAGAGGAAGAUUGUCUCAUCCAUCCGUAUCAGGCAGGUUUUGGUAUUUGGUCGUGUAAUACCUCACAGCCAAUAUUCUAUACCACCAUACUGUGCAGAAGUCUGAAGAAGACCCCACUACCAAUCUUCCUUCCCUGUCCAUUCCCAAGGAGUACCAACAUGAUUUCCUACC
RNAcentral lists this long non-coding RNA (919 nucleotides) under Mus musculus (house mouse). RNAcentral describes it as "long non-coding RNA chr19:41264111-41265030". The record is from RNAcentral. Lineage: Eukaryota; Metazoa; Chordata; Mammalia; Rodentia; Muridae.